CCAGGUAAGUCGCCGGACCGGCCGCCUUGAUGGCGCACCGGCCCGGCUCGGGGUGAAGUCGCGCCACCGCUCAGCGGCGCGGCCGGGCAGCUCCCGCCCGAACCCGACAGCUCACCUCGUAGGCGUCGGAGAGGAACA
Molecule: small RNA, 138 nt
Filed under: Streptomyces caeruleatus
Lineage: Bacteria; Bacillati; Actinomycetota; Actinomycetes; Kitasatosporales; Streptomycetaceae
Description: c-di-AMP sequence
Rfam family: c-di-AMP riboswitch aptamer (ydaO/yuaA leader)
About the family: This family represents a conserved RNA structure found upstream of the ydaO and yuaA genes in Bacillus subtilis and related genes in other bacteria.
Source: RNAcentral